This 440-nucleotide ribosomal RNA is filed under the name uncultured Paracoccaceae bacterium. RNAcentral describes it as "uncultured Rhodobacteraceae bacterium partial 16S ribosomal RNA". Lineage: Bacteria; Pseudomonadati; Pseudomonadota; Alphaproteobacteria; Rhodobacterales; Paracoccaceae. The record is from RNAcentral.
GACUACCCGGGUAUCUAAUCCUGUUUGCUCCCCACGCUUUCGCACCUCAGCGUCAGUAUCGAGCCAGUGAGCCGCCUUCGCCACUGGUGUUCCUCCGAAUAUCUACGAAUUUCACCUCUACACUCGGAAUUCCACUCACCUCUCUCGACCUCAAGACCGGGAGUUUUGAAGGCAAUUCCGGGGUUGAGCCCCGGGAUUUCACCCCCAACUUUCCGAUCCGCCUACGCGCGCUUUACGCCCAGUAAUUCCGAACAACGCUAACCCCCUCCGUAUUACCGCGGCUGCUGGCACGGAGUUAGCCGGGGUUUCUUUACCGGGUACAGUCAUUAUCUUCCCCGGCGAAAGAGCUUUACGACCCUAAGGCCUUCAUCACUCACGCGGCAUGGCUAGAUCAGGGUUGCCCCCAUUGUCCAAGAUUCCCCACUGCAGCCCCCCGUAGG